UGGGGAAUAUUGGACAAUGGGGGCAACCCUGAUCCAGCAAUGCCGCGUGAGUGAUGAAGGCCUUAGGGUUGUAAAGCUCUUUCGCCCGCGACGAUGAUGACGGUAGCGGGAGAAGAAGCCCCGGCUAACUUCGUGCCAGCAGCCGCGGUAAUACGAAGGGGGCGAGCGUUGUUCGGAAUUACUGGGCGUAAAGGGCGCGCAGGCGGCCUUAGAAGUCAGGCGUGAAAGCCCCGGGCUCAACCUGGGAAUUGCGCUUGAUACUCUUGGGCUUGAGUACGGGAGAGGAGAGUGGAAUUCCCAGUGUAGAGGUGAAAUUCGUAGAUAUUGGGAAGAACACCGGUGGCGAAGGCGGCUCUCUGGACCGUAACUGACGCUGAGGCGCGAAAGCGUGGGGAGCAAACAGGAUUAGAUACCCCCGUAGUCC
This 424-nucleotide ribosomal RNA is filed under the name uncultured bacterium. RNAcentral describes it as "bacterial SSU rRNA". It matches the Rfam family "Bacterial small subunit ribosomal RNA", at positions 355 to 796 of the family's 1533-position model. The record is from RNAcentral.